AUUUAACCUUCAGUGGAAGGUAGAUAAGUCAUUCUUAUCAUUCAUACAAGAUUUCGUCGAUUAUUUUUGCUGAGAAAAAAAGUGACCUUUUUUAACUUAUUGAAAGGUAACGUUAUUGUCCAUUAAUCUUGUGUCUCAUUGCUUAUCUGUUAAACGUAGUAGGAUACCACAUUGCAAUGUUAUAUUUAUUUCAACCAAUCUAACUCAUAAAAACUUAUGGUCAGGACAUGUUUUGUACCUCCCCCUUUUUCCUCAAAUCCAU
This 262-nucleotide long non-coding RNA is filed under the name Mytilus galloprovincialis (Mediterranean mussel). Lineage: Eukaryota; Metazoa; Mollusca; Bivalvia; Mytilida; Mytilidae. The record is from RNAcentral.